This 331-nucleotide unclassified non-coding RNA is filed under the name soil metagenome. Its description in RNAcentral is "partial contains 5.8S ribosomal RNA, internal transcribed spacer 2, and large subunit ribosomal RNA". The stretch from base 1 to 120 matches the Rfam family "5.8S ribosomal RNA", at positions 35 to 154 of the family's 154-position model. The record is from RNAcentral.
GAUGAAGAACGUAGCGAAAUGCGAUAAGUAAUGUGAAUUGCAGAAUUCAGUGAAUCAUCGAAUCUUUGAACGCACAUUGCGCCCCCUGGUAUUCCGGGGGGCAUGCCUGUUCGAGCGUCAUUUCACCACUCAAGCCUCGCUUGGUAUUGGGCAACGCGGUCCGCCGCGUGCCUCAAAUCGUCCGGCUGGGUCUUCUGACCCCUAAGCGUUGUGGAAACUAUUCGCUAAAGGGUGUUCGGGAGGCUACGCCGUAAAACAACCCCAUUUCUAAGGUUGACCUCGGAUCAGGUAGGGAUACCCGCUGAACUUAAGCAUAUCAAUAAGCGGAGGA